GACGAACGCUGGCGGCGUGCCUAACACGUGCAAGUCGAACGGAGCUUUGCUUUGAACGGCGAGAAGCUUGCUUCUCAAAGUUCUGUGUGAAGCUUAGUGGCGGACGGGUGAGUAACGCGUGAGUAACCUGCCGUUCAGAGGGGGACAACAGUUGGAAACGACUGCUAAUACCGCAUAACGUACCGAGAAGGCAUCUUCUUGGUACCAAAGAUUUAUCGCUGAAUGAUGGACUCGCGUCUGAUUAGAUAGCUGGUGAGGUAACGGCUCACCAAGUCGACGAUCAGUAGCCGGACUGAGAGGUUGAACGGCCACAUUGGGACUGAGACACGGCCAG
Molecule: ribosomal RNA, 334 nt
Filed under: uncultured bacterium
Lineage: Bacteria
Description: bacterial SSU rRNA
Rfam family: Bacterial small subunit ribosomal RNA
Source: RNAcentral